This 320-nucleotide long non-coding RNA is filed under the name Eucalyptus grandis. RNAcentral's name for it is "long non-coding RNA (EGRA_LNC001224)". Lineage: Eukaryota; Viridiplantae; Streptophyta; Magnoliopsida; Myrtales; Myrtaceae. The record is from RNAcentral.
UGAGAUUUAUCCAACCGACCUUCCAGGAAAAUGAUAUUCCAUUGACCAAGACUUGCGGAGGCCCUUCCCGUGUAUAAAUCUGGACCAAUUUCUUCCCGAACCAUCACAAUACAUCGUCUCUUUACAUAAAAUCACACACAGAGAAACUUCAGCGAUCAGCAGAUCAUCCAUGGAACACGGACACCAUCAUGGCGGUCACCAUGGUCAUCAUCAUGGCCACCAUGGUCACGGUCAUGGACACUGUUGGGAAUGACUGAUCCCCGAUAACCGGAUUCGACACUAAAUCGAACCCCUAAAUCAAUGCGGAAGACGAAGCCCGG